AGAGAGAUGUUUUCUUAAAUGGUUAUCUCGGAAGCUGCUCCCCUAUAAAAAUCUCUACGGGAUGACAUGAUGAAAAUGAUAGAAAUAGCUUCAGCUCAGAGGUAGGUAGGAGGGGCUAGCCUAUCCACUCUUUCAAAAUAUGCCAUCACGGUAACACUUCUGUCCAUGCCUCUGUGGAUGACCACUAUUCAGUUAAUUCAAAAAUAAAAAAGAUGAGAAGCCUAGUCUGAUGACAUUAUCAAAGACAGCCUAACCUUUUUGUUGAAGGAUCUGACUAGGUUAAGUCAAAAUCAGAGGCGAGGAGGCCCUCUUGGCCUGGUCUCUGCCUUGUCCCCUGAUCGAACAGGCCCCUCGUCAAGCCAUUGGAAGAAACAGCACACUGAGGGCCCUUAAAACGCUCUAGACCCAAAACAGAGAAAGAGCAGUCAUCCCGUGGCAUCUAAGACAUGAGAGCACGAACUCUUGUCUUGUGGGACGGUGAUCACUUGGUCCCUUUCGACUUGAAUACACCAGCGAUGGCUGAAAGUUAUGGACACUGUUUCUGACCCGACAAGAGAGAAUUUUCCUUUGGCCAAGACUUAGGGGACUUGGAACAGUCUAACGCCUGGUUACACAUCAGGCUCUAACCACCUGAGCUAAGAGUUCGUUCCAGUAGACAUCAAGAUUCAAGGAGAGCCAUAUGUCACCUGGGCAAUUAAGUUUCAAAAGAAAAGGAAAAGAGAGAAGUUCAAGUAUGCUCUGAAGAAGCAUCGAGCCACAUCACCAAAGUGGAGAGAUGGGAUUUACUUUAUUUUCCUUAUGGAGCCAUCACCAGGUCCUGGAGGUUUUCCAAAGUUCCUACCGUUGUUCUGAAUGUCAAGGUCAGGCCUGCUACAGCAUGUCCUGUUACAUUACCAAAGGGAAAAGGGGGAGCAAGACCCCAACAGGAAGGACAGUGAUAUAGAGGAUGGAUGUCUAGCAUGACAAGGAGCUGUCAUGAUGAACUUUCCUACAUUAACCAAAAAAAAAAAAAAAAAAAAAAAGGUAAGGAAACCACAAAAUUUUUUCCAAAAAUCUAAAGUAGAUUUUUGUUUGAAGUAGAGCAGGAAUUAACUGUGAAUAUCUUGAGCGGGCAUAAAACUAAUAUACCUUAGGAUAAAAGCAGAGGCAGCCUAAACUUGCCUAUGACACUCACAGAGUCAAAUUUAUGAUGGGCUAAUUGGUAAGUAGAAUGUUAUUAAGAUGUGUACAGACCCUUUUUUUUUUUUUUUUGCUUUGCUUUGCUGUGUCCUUCUAAUUUUAAAAGUCUGCCCAAAUGUGUUGCUUAUAAAUCAUACCCAAAACAGAGCUGUUUAAAAAAGAAAAGUUAUAUUUCUUUUUAGGGGAAAAAAUUGAGUUCUCGAGUCCAACCUACUUCCUUACUUACAUUUUACUUAAUUACAAACAAAGACAUAAUGCCUUAUUUUUAUGUACCCACAAGAGCCAGGCAGACUGUAAUUUUUAUUGCAUGUUAAGUUUUCAUUGGAUCACAGUAUUAUUAAGCUUUAAAUCAGAGGGUUGGUUCCUUCAGCGAAGUCUAACCACACCAGCAAGUAAAAAGAAAAAAAAAAAAAAAGAACACCUCAUCUGGGGCUGUAAUAUUUGCUGAAAAAAAUCUACUUCAAAACAUUAAUCAAAUUUUUCGCCUACUGGGCAACCAUAUGGUAUAGCAGCAUGUGAAUCUCACAAACUUGCUGAUCUCCUGUUACUGGGUGCAAUUAAUUACGCUGGCUGCAUCCAUCUCUUGGAUUUUCGCCUUGUGAAAAAAGUAUUUAUUGCAACAGCUUUUACAAAACAAGGGAAUGAAACUCACAAUUGAUUAAUGAGCUGAAUGGAAAUAUUUCCGUUAGCAGAUUUUUAAAAUGAAUAAGGAUUAAUACCAUGGAUAGAAGGGAACACACGUCGAGAUCUCCCUGUAGUCUGUGGACCCCCCAAAAGAAGGGGGAGGAAGGGUGGGGAGUGCGGGUGCCGGGAGCUCCAACCUGCGUAAUUCACCAGCCGGCUUUAGAUCGCAGGUAAUAAAGCCUUAAACCAGAGAGGGAAUAAAGAGGUUGGCUUUACAAGAGACUAUGCUGGGAUACAAAAAGCUUGUUUUCUGAUGUGAAAACAGAGGUAUUAAACACUCAGUGGGUGAGGAACGUUACAGGCCUGACAAAGAACGAAAGGGAAGUGGCUCUUGGAAGGGAGCAACCUACUUUGUCCUUAGUCAUUUAGGCGCAAAGAUUGCUGCACAUAUGGUCGGAUUACAGUUUUAAAACCCCUCCAUAAAAGCAGGCAUCUGAGAGUAAGUCAGGACGGUAACAAUGUCCUUAGCUGCUGGCUAAAGGUACAAACAAUGCAUAAUUGCACCGUUUUUCACACCAGGAAAUGCAUCUUUCAGCCCAUAUGCACUUGAUUUUUCCUAACACUGGAACGCUUCCUGGGCUAAACCAUGAGUCCUGCCUUCUGGAGACGACCUCUUGAUGUGCACGGAGGUCACUGUCCUCCAAAGGAGAGUCACAGACCCAGGGCUGGACGUCUUAAAGGACAGCAGAAGCAAGGCGCAUUCUGCCCCUUUUCAGAAUUGCCCUCUGGGCUUGAGACCAGCCAGGGUACCAAGCAUUAAUGCUGCCAUCAUCUCAGGAAGCUCGGUCCCCCUUUCUCUGAAAAGACAGCAGAAGAGACCAGUCCCAAUAUUUGCCAUUUGUUAAAUACUUAUCUUGGGAAAACAGACAAAAUACUAACCAUAAGUGGAAGAAAUACAUAAGCUGGAGGGAUCAGAUACUGCAUCACUUUUACGACCGAGGAAGAGGAAAGCUGUAAAGAACAAGCUUUGCAAUUCAACACUUAAGCCAAGCCUUCGCUUUGCUGUCCCUACUGUAAACUUUGCCCAGAAAAUUCUGCAAAGGGCUUGGUUAGAGAGAGCCUGUCACUGUAUUAACAUCCACGUGCUACGUGUAGCCAACAUGACGCCUUCUCCCCUGGUCUCACUUGUCAGUUCUGUGCCACUGUCCAGAGAAGACAAAAUCUUUUGUAAUCACUUGAUAUGCAAGAGCACCCAGGACAAGAGGAAUAUAUUCUUAUAAAGCCGAGGCUUAAUGGGUGGUAUUUUAAACAACACUAUCAAAACUCAAAUAACUGACUCCUAUGUUAACGGAAACAUACAGGUGUACCUCAUUUUAUUGUUUCCUGCUUUACUGUGCCUCAAAGAUACUGUAUUUUUUUUUCACAAAUUAAAGGUUUGUGGCACCGCUGCAUCAAGCAAGUCUAUCAGUUUCAACACCAUCUGCUUGCUUUCCAUCUCUGGAUAUGUUUCGUUAAUGCUCCCAAUAUCUCAGUAUGUUUCAAUAUUAUUGUAUUUGUUAUGGUGACCUGUGGUUAGUGAUCUCUGACGUCAGUGCUGCUACAAGGUGACAACCCACUGAAAGCUCAGAUGAUGGUUAGUAUUUUUUAGCAGUAUUUUUGAAUCAAAACAUGUACUUUUUGUAGAGAUAACGCUUUGGCGCACUUAGCCGACUAUGGAAUAAACAUAACUUUUACAUGCACAAGGAAACCAAAAAAAUUUGUGUUACUUUAUUGUGAUACCCCGUUUAUUCUGUCAUGGUCUGGAAGUGAACCUGUAAUAUCGCCGAGGUGUGCCGGUUGGUUUAACUUUGGAGACUCUGAUGCCAUGGAGGGAAAAAAACACUGUGUAUUUCAAAUGAGCAGGCAGGUCGAGGUGGGGAAGAGCUUCUGAAGGCCACCAUUCAGGGUGCUGGAAAGAUAACUUUCAAAAUCAUUGCAGUUGAGAGUCAGAGGAGCUUGAUAAACAAAAAAGACAUUUGGAAGACACUAUCGUCCAGUGAAAAGCAGGAGGAACUUACCAAGAAAAUGUGCUUGGCCUCUGGAAGGGGGGGAAAGAAGUAUCCAAUGGCAAGUGAGUAACCCGACUCCUUAAACCAGUGACCCAGCCAUGUCCACCACUCCCCAGCACCACCUCUCAAACGAUCUCUGCAGCCCUCCUACGUGCAAUGGUUGUUGGCUUAGAAGUUUAAAGAGCUAACAAAAUGUUUUAACGAGAUACAAAUCUCAGAGAUCAUUAAUCAAUAUGUUCAAUGUUAUUUGUGAUAAUUCAUCAUGACAUGAUAUUAAUGGGUUACUGUACCCUUCAGAGGUGAGAUUAAUGCAAAUGAGCCGCCACAAUUAACUUUACUGCUCCCAACUCACAGGAAUGGACAGAUGAUUAUAAAUGACAACUACAUGUCAAUUACAAUAUCCAAUAAAGUGAAGCUUGGAGAACAAUCCAUCUCCUUUUAUUGCUCUUCCUUGACGUCGCUGAAUUUAGCUCAGCCCACUGUUGUCACGAUGUAGCCAUUGUUUGGGGGAGGGGAAAGGGUUUUUCUUUUCCUACCUGUUCUUUCUUCUACAUUUUUUUCAGUAGUUUAAAAAGUGCUUCCUAAAUGCCUGCGUAAGGACAUUAUCUAAAGGAGCAACAGCCACAGGAAACCAGGAGUAAGUGCCACGUUCAUUCUAGGUGAGUUAAGGAGAACUGGAUCCCUGUUCGAAUUGGAGCAGCAAGGCCAGCAAGAAAACAAGCUGUCCAGCUGCGUAUAAUAUAUUUACUCAAUUAAAAAAAGAAGAUAUUAGCACAGCAUCCUGAAGAGCCGUGAGCUUCACUAAACCCAAGUUAUUGGAGGAUCACCGUGGAAAUGAAGAGGUCGCAAGGUGGAAAGGGAGGUACGGGGCCAACGGCAGGAGGGUGGUUUAAAGCCAGUUGGCAGACCUGCAAUUGGGGUGUUUGGGAAGACCAGGUACAGGGCCCCACCUGAACGGUUUCUGAUCCUUGCAUGCCCCUUCCUUCCAGGAGAGACAACUGGUACAGACUGGCACAGUGGUCCCCCCUCAGCCCCUGUACUGAGCAGGUACACCCAGCACUGUGGGUGUCGGCUGCUACCCUUUCUGCCUCGCCUGGGAGGGUCCCCACGCCACCCCCUUCCUUGGCAGAUGUUGGCCCAUCACCAUCAUCGCCAGGCCCUGGUCCGAAGCAGGACCCACUCUGUGGCACCAUUCACGCUCCACAGCUCCCGGGGGACCAGCCUGAAACGGGUCACAUCCUUGUGCAACACUUCCCCCGCCCUGGGCCGUCUCCUCCCCCCCGGCUCCUGAAGGCACAACCCCCACCUCACUUGAACAAGCACCCUGCUUGGGCUCUGCUUCUAGGAAGAACCUAAGGCCAGGUGUCUAGAUGGAAACAGGAACACUCUUCCUGCCCUGGCAUUUACAAGGAGAACCGCUCUCUAGCAGGCAGUGGUAAGAGAGCAGCCGAGGCGCUCCCUUUGGAAGAUGCGCCCAGAAGGGGUUGCGUCCUCACAUUUCCAUAAAUAUGUAAAAUCACCACGUAAGGCUGUGGGAGGAUCGGUGUGGAUGGUGGAAGCAACAGCUUUAUCUGUCCAGGUUGCUCCCCAAGUCCCUUCAAGCUGCCAACAUGGAGCUCUUUCUGCCCUUAGGGAACUGGGCCUCUUCCUCUGCUCUACCAAGGGGGGCAGGGUACCUGACUCCAACCUUCAAAGAACCCUAUUCCCCGGGUCAUCACUUUCAGGGACAGUGUCUGCCUCCAGCCAGGCCAAUCAAGUCUGCCUGUGGCUUCUAUGCUGGGGCGGUGGUGGGGGGACAGACUUCCUGGUGUCCAGGUGGCAAGGCUGGGACGCUGCUCAUCUCUCAGUGGCCAUGCUGAUCCCCACUCCGAGAGAACGUUCUCCAAAGACUGUAACAAAUCAAAGAGCAUUGAAACCAAGAGACUGGAUCAAGGCAGAGCCCUGAUGACAUAUGUGAGCUCUGGAAAAGGCCUGAUUCAAACCACAGGCUGGCAAACUGUGACCGCUGGGCCAAAUCUGGACCUUGCCAUUUGUGCAGCCCAGGGCCUAGAAAUGCUUUACCUUUCUCAAGUCAUCGAAGGAAAAAAGAAGAAUACUUUGUGGGAAAGUACAUGAACUCCAGACUGCAGCCUCCACGAAGCUUCACUGGAGCACAGCCACGCCCCACGGGCUCACCGACUGUCUGUGCCCGGAAGAGGUGAGCACCUGCAGACCCAAAAUACCCAUCCUCUGUCCUGCCGCAGAGAAAACGUGCUGACCCCCGUGCAAAACUUCGCCUUUCGGGAGUCACAGGUGGCCACUUCCGCUCAGGGUAGCUGAAACAUCCUAAUUAACUGACGAGUCCAUUCUCAGCUCUUCCCCACAAACCAGGGCGCCUCUGCCUGCCUCAUCUGCUGAGAUCCUGAAGAGAAGGACUCACAUCCAGCAGGGUGUUUCUCCUACCUGCUCCCUGGGAGUGAGCACCUUCUUUGCUGAACAUCACAAAGUGUUGAACAAAGUGUUAAAACGUGCAAAACAUACAGUAUCAAUCAUUCCAGUUGAUGGGCGGUUCUAAGCCAAGCAGUAAAAGAUACAGGAGAUUAAAGAUGGGAAAGAAGCUUUCCUUUUUUUCUUUUUCAUGUACCUGCAGAACAUAUUUAAUUUGAAAGGAAACCUCAGCAGCGCCAAAGGGCUGUCCCAGCGGGGCCAGCCUGCCUCGGUGAGCUGCAAGGGGCCGGAACACACGUCCCGACUGUUGAAACUUGGGGGCCUGGUGAGAACAGUGUGAUGCUGAUGCCUUUUACAGCAGAUCACAAAGAGACGAGAGGGAUUCACUCCCUUCACUUUGGGGUUCCUGUUUUCCAGGAGGAGAUAGUCCUAGGUUUAAACUGCUGUCCCCUGUUCCCUCUGCAUUCACCCUGCUCUCCGGACAGAGAGCGCGAGCAUCUUGCAAACAGACUCACGCUGCCUCUGCCC
RNAcentral lists this long non-coding RNA (6806 nucleotides) under Sus scrofa (pig). RNAcentral's name for it is "lncRNA (ENSSSCG00030048640.1)". The record is from RNAcentral. Lineage: Eukaryota; Metazoa; Chordata; Mammalia; Artiodactyla; Suidae.